This 751-nucleotide ribosomal RNA is filed under the name Escherichia coli. Its description in RNAcentral is "partial 23S ribosomal RNA". It matches the Rfam family "Bacterial large subunit ribosomal RNA", at positions 2180 to 2925 of the family's 2925-position model. The record is from RNAcentral. Lineage: Bacteria; Pseudomonadati; Pseudomonadota; Gammaproteobacteria; Enterobacterales; Enterobacteriaceae.
AUGGAGCCGACCUUGAAAUACCACCCUUUAAUGUUUGAUGUUCUAACGUGGACCCGUGAUCCGGGUUGCGGACAGUGUCUGGUGGGUAGUUUGACUGGGGCGGUCUCCUCCUAAAGAGUAACGGAGGAGCACGAAGGUUGGCUAAUCCUGGUCGGACAUCAGGAGGUUAGUGCAAUGGCAUAAGCCAGCUUGACUGCGAGCGUGACGGCGCGAGCAGGUGCGAAAGCAGGUCAUAGUGAUCCGGUGGUUCUGAAUGGAAGGGCCAUCGCUCAACGGAUAAAAGGUACUCCGGGGAUAACAGGCUGAUACCGCCCAAGAGUUCAUAUCGACGGCGGUGUUUGGCACCUCGAUGUCGGCUCAUCACAUCCUGGGGCUGAAGUAGGUCCCAAGGGUAUGGCUGUUCGCCAUUUAAAGUGGUACGCGAGCUGGGUUUAGAACGUCGUGAGACAGUUCGGUCCCUAUCUGCCGUGGGCGCUGGAGAACUGAGGGGGGCUGCUCCUAGUACGAGAGGACCGGAGUGGACGCAUCACUGGUGUUCGGGUUGUCAUGCCAAUGGCACUGCCCGGUAGCUAAAUGCGGAAGAGAUAAGUGCUGAAAGCAUCUAAGCACGAAACUUGCCCCGAGAUGAGUUCUCCCUGACUCCUUGAGAGUCCUGAAGGAACGUUGAAGACGACGACGUUGAUAGGCCGGGUGUGUAAGCGCAGCGAUGCGUUGAGCUAACCGGUACUAAUGAACCGUGAGGCUUAACCUU